UCCUAGGUGACUCAGUGAUAAAGAAUCUGUCUGCCAAUGCAGGAGACCCAGGUUUGAUCCCUGGCUUAGGAA
RNAcentral lists this transfer RNA (72 nucleotides) under Bos taurus (domestic cattle). It matches the Rfam family "tRNA". Rfam says of the family: Transfer RNA (tRNA) molecules are approximately 80 nucleotides in length. Their secondary structure includes four short double-helical elements and three loops (D, anti-codon, and T loops). The record is from Rfam by way of RNAcentral. RNAcentral also lists the same sequence under 3 other names. Lineage: Eukaryota; Metazoa; Chordata; Mammalia; Artiodactyla; Bovidae.